AUUGAACGCUGGCGGCGUGCCUAACACAUGCAAGUCGAGCGGUAACAGGUGUAGCAAUACAUGCUGACGAGCGGCGGACGGGUGAGUAACGCUUGGGAAUCUGCCUGUUAGUGGGGGACAACCCGGGGAAACGUCGGGCUAAUACCGCAUACGCACUACGGUGGAAAGCCGGGGACCGGCAAGGCCUGGCGCUAACAGAUGAGCCCAAGUCGGAUUAGCUAGUUGGUAGGGAACGGCCUACCAAGGCGACGAUCCGUAACUGGUCUGAGAGGACGACCAGUCACACCGGAACUGAGACACGGUCCGGACUCCUACGGGAGGCAGCAGUGGGGAAGUAUUGGACAAUGGGCGAAAGCCUGAUCCAGCGACG
RNAcentral lists this ribosomal RNA (370 nucleotides) under uncultured bacterium. RNAcentral's name for it is "bacterial SSU rRNA". It matches the Rfam family "Bacterial small subunit ribosomal RNA", at positions 29 to 396 of the family's 1533-position model. The record is from RNAcentral.